Molecule: long non-coding RNA, 526 nt
Organism: Sinocyclocheilus anshuiensis
Lineage: Eukaryota; Metazoa; Chordata; Actinopteri; Cypriniformes; Cyprinidae
Exons: 2
Source: RefSeq, a predicted model, not a curated record
UUGCAAACAUUUUUUUAUUUCUGAUUCCGAUUUGAACACCAAAAUAUACUCACAGAUGCUUUCUCAAAAUAAAACACUUAAAAAAAGCCCAGCAGACAGACUCUUUACACUUACAUUUUGUUAAAACACAAACGUAAAAAAAAAAAAAAAAAAAGUCCCGAGGCCUGAGUUUGAGAAAAGUAGGUUGACAAGCCACAACAUUUCACACUAACAGACUUUACCACCUUAUGAGCAUUUAACUGAUUACGUUUACUUUAUAAAAUACAUAUUCAUUUAUUCAGGUAUUAAUUAAACCAUUUUUACAAAAUAAACAGUCCUUGGUAUCUUAUAAAAAUGUACCUCUUCUCAGUCCAACAGAAUUGAAAACAACCAAUCUGGCUUCACAAAAAUAAUGAAUAUUGUGCACGCUCUACCUUCAUAUAUAUGCAUCUACAGCCACUCACAAAAGUUUCCACCAUGAUACGGCUCAAGACAGCUACUUCAAAGACAAGCAGACCAACUAGGUACAUAUUUUCAAGUAGCAUUU